CCUACGGGAGGCAGCAGUGGGGAAUCUUAGACAAUGGGCGCAAGCCUGAUCUAGCCAUGCCGCGUGUGUGAUGAAGGUCUUAGGAUCGUAAAGCACUUUCGCCAGGGAUGAUAAUGACAGUACCUGGUAAAGAAACCCCGGCUAACUCCGUGCCAGCAGCCGCGGUAAUACGGAGGGGGUUAGCGUUGUUCGGAAUUACUGGGCGUAAAGCGUACGUAGGCGGAUCAGAAAGUUGGGGGUGAAAUCCCGGGGCUCAACCCCGGAACUGCCUCCAAAACUCCUGGUCUUGAGUUCGAGAGAGGUGAGUGGAAUUCCAAGUGUAGAGGUGAAAUUCGUAGAUAUUUGGAGGAACACCAGUGGCGAAGGCGGCUCACUGGCUCGAUACUGACGCUGAGGUACGAAAGUGUGGGGAGCAAACAGGAUUAGAUACCCUGGUAGUCCACACCGUAAACGAUGAAUGCCAGUCGUCGGGCAGAAUACUGUUCGGUGACACACCUAACGGAUUAAGCAUUCCGCCUGGGGAGUACGU
Molecule: ribosomal RNA, 529 nt
Filed under: uncultured bacterium
Lineage: Bacteria
Description: bacterial SSU rRNA
Rfam family: Bacterial small subunit ribosomal RNA
Source: RNAcentral